AGCUCCAAUAGCGUAUAUUAAAGUUGCUGCAGUUAAAAAGCUCGUAGUUGGAUUUGUGGCGCGGCCGUCCGGCGGGGCUCCUUCAUUGGGGCCGUUUGUCUGGUUUUUCGGCCGCUCCAUUCUCGGGUAGUGUGUCGCUGGCAUUAGGUUGUCGGCUUCUUCACGCCCGUCGUUUACUGUGAAAAAAUUAGAGUGUUCAAAGCAGGCUUAGGCCAUUGGAUACAUUAGCAUGGAAUAAUGAGAUAGGGCCACGACGGUCUAUUUUGUUGGUUUGCACGUUGUGGUAAUGAUUAACAGGAACGGUUGGGGGUAUUCGUAUUCAAUUGUCAGAGGUGAAAUUCUUGGAUUUAUGGAAGACGAACUACUGCGAAAGCAUUUACCAAGGAUGUUUUCAUUAAUC
RNAcentral lists this ribosomal RNA (400 nucleotides) under phytoplankton environmental sample. RNAcentral describes it as "partial small subunit ribosomal RNA". It matches the Rfam family "Eukaryotic small subunit ribosomal RNA", at positions 587 to 978 of the family's 1831-position model. The record is from RNAcentral.